UACGUAGGGGGCAAGCGUUGUCCGGAUUUAUUGGGCGUAAAGAGCGUGUAGGCGGCUGGGUAGGUCCGUUGUGAAAACUCGAGGCUCAACCUCGAGACGCCGAUGGAAACCCUCCAGCUAGAGUCCGGAAGAGGAGAGUGGAAUUCCUGGUGUAGCGGUGAAAUGCGCAGAUAUCAGGAGGAAUACCGAUGGCGAAGGCAGGUCUCUGGGCUGACACUGACGCUCAUGCACGAAGGCCAGGGGAGCAAACGGG
This 253-nucleotide ribosomal RNA is filed under the name uncultured bacterium. RNAcentral describes it as "partial 16S ribosomal RNA". It matches the Rfam family "Bacterial small subunit ribosomal RNA", at positions 524 to 776 of the family's 1533-position model. The record is from RNAcentral.